This 73-nucleotide transfer RNA is filed under the name Camelus bactrianus (Bactrian camel). It matches the Rfam family "tRNA". Rfam says of the family: Transfer RNA (tRNA) molecules are approximately 80 nucleotides in length. Their secondary structure includes four short double-helical elements and three loops (D, anti-codon, and T loops). Further hydrogen bonds mediate the characteristic L-shaped molecular structure. tRNAs have two regions of fundamental functional importance: the anti-codon, which is responsible for specific mRNA codon recognition, and the 3' end, to which the tRNAs corresponding amino acid is attached (by aminoacyl-tRNA synthetases). tRNAs cope with the degeneracy of the genetic code in two manners: having more than one tRNA (with a specific anti-codon) for a particular amino acid; and 'wobble' base-pairing, i.e. permitting non-standard base-pairing at the 3rd anti-codon position. Lineage: Eukaryota; Metazoa; Chordata; Mammalia; Artiodactyla; Camelidae. The record is from Rfam by way of RNAcentral. RNAcentral also lists the same sequence under 2 other names.
GUGGGUGUAGCUCAGUGGUAGAGUGCAUGCUUAGCAUGCACAAGGUCCUGGGUUCAAUCCCCCAGUACCGUCA